UAUGUAAUGUAGCUCUCUUCGGAGCAUCGGUGACAGGUGGUGCAUGGUUGUCGUCAGCUCGUGUCGUGAGAUGUUGGGUUAAGUCCCGCAACGAGCGCAACCCCUGUCCUUAGUAGCCAGCAGUUCGGCUGGGCACUCUAGGGAGACUGCCAGGGAUAACCUGGAGGAAGGCGGGGAUGACGUCAAAUCAUCAUGCCCCUUAUGACUUGGGCUACACACGUGCUACAAUGGCGUAAACAAAGGGAAGCGGAGCCGCGAGGCCGAGCAAAUCUCAAAAAUAACGUCUCAGUUCGGACUGUAGUCUGCAACCCGACUACACGAAGCUGGAAUCGCUAGUAAUCGCAGAUCAGAAUGCUGCGGUGAAUACGUUCCCGGGUCUUGUAC
Molecule: ribosomal RNA, 384 nt
Filed under: uncultured bacterium
Lineage: Bacteria
Description: bacterial SSU rRNA
Rfam family: Bacterial small subunit ribosomal RNA
Source: RNAcentral